UACGGGGGAUGCGAGCGUUGUCCGGAUUUAUUGGGUUUAAAGGGUGCGUAGGCGGUUUGAUAAGUCAGUGGUUAAAUUAUGCAGCUCAACUGUAUGCAUGCCAUUGAUACUGUCAGACUUGAGACUUGAGGGGGUAAGCGGAAUUGGUAGUGUAGCGGUGAAAUGCAUAGAUACUACCAGGAAUAUCGAUAGUGAAGACAGCUUACUACGGAAGUUCUGACGCUGAGGCACGAAAGCGUGGGGAUCAAACAGG
Molecule: ribosomal RNA, 253 nt
Filed under: uncultured bacterium
Lineage: Bacteria
Description: partial 16S ribosomal RNA
Rfam family: Bacterial small subunit ribosomal RNA
Source: RNAcentral